Molecule: ribosomal RNA, 33 nt
Filed under: Morus alba (white mulberry)
Lineage: Eukaryota; Viridiplantae; Streptophyta; Magnoliopsida; Rosales; Moraceae
Description: partial 28S ribosomal RNA
Source: RNAcentral
CCCCAGGUCAGGGGGGGCUACCCGCUGAGUUUA